UACGUAGGGUGCAAGCGUUGUCCGGAAUUAUUGGGCGUAAAGAGCUCGUAGGCGGUUCGUCGCGUCGGCUGUGAAAACCCGGAGCUCAACUCCGGGCCUGCAGUCGAUACGGGCAGACUGGAGGUAUGCAGGGGAGAACGGAAUUCCUGGUGUAGCGGUGAAAUGCGCAGAUAUCAGGAGGAACACCGGUGGCGAAGGCGGUUCUCUGGGCAUGACCUGACGCUGAGGAGCGAAAGCGUGGGUAGCGAACAGG
This 253-nucleotide ribosomal RNA is filed under the name uncultured bacterium. Its description in RNAcentral is "partial 16S ribosomal RNA". It matches the Rfam family "Bacterial small subunit ribosomal RNA", at positions 524 to 776 of the family's 1533-position model. The record is from RNAcentral.